RNAcentral lists this ribosomal RNA (497 nucleotides) under uncultured bacterium. RNAcentral describes it as "partial 16S ribosomal RNA". It matches the Rfam family "Bacterial small subunit ribosomal RNA", at positions 28 to 507 of the family's 1533-position model. The record is from RNAcentral.
GAUGAACGCUGGCGGCGUGCCUAAUACAUGCAAGUCGAGCGAACGGACGAGAAGCUUGCUUCUCUGAUGUUAGCGGCGGACGGGUGAGUAACACGUGGAUAACCUACCUAUAAGACUGGGAUAACUUCGGGAAGCCGUAGCUAAUACCGGAUAAUAUUUUGAACCGCAUGGUUCAAAAGUGAAAGACGGUCUUGCUGUCACUUAUAGAUGGAUCCGCGCUGCAUUAGCUAGUUGGUAAGGUAACGGCUUACCAAGGCAACGAUGCAUAGCCGACCUGAGAGGGUGAUCAGCCACACUGGAACUGAGACACGGUCCAGACUCCUACGGGAGGCAGCAGUAGGGAAUCUUCCGCAAUGGGCGAAAGCCUGACGGAGCAACGCCGCGUGAGUGAUGAAGGUCUUCGGAUCGUAAAACUCUGUUAUUAGGGAAGAACAUAUGUGUAAGUAACUGUGCACAUCUUGACGGUACCUAAUCAGAAAGCCACGGCUAACUACGUG